CCCAAAGCCUGUCAACUUAAAAGCGACGCUGGCCGGGCAAAAACAUUGAAUUGCAUGAGCAAAGAUCCCUGGUAGAGUAUCAGAACAGUUAAAGCGUCACUCAGUCGCAUAAUCUUCUUUUCUGAACUCUUUUUUCUUUUGAGGGUUUUUAGAUUUGGAAGCUGACAUCGAGAGAGAGAGAGAGAGAGAGAGAGAGAGAGAGAGAUGGUGACCAUUCGAGGAAUUCUUCUGAAUGAGUUGAUCCUCUUCGCCGAAGACGAAGAAGGAAAUGUGGGGUUUCAGUCCGGAGCAGAAGCUCUUCUUCGUAGACUCAAGUAUUCCGAUCUCCGUGUGGGGAUUUGUUAUGCAGCGGGUGUUUCAACUCAGAAGAUGACAUUUCUUAAGAGUACAGCAACCCUGUAUUUGUUAGAUUUCUUUAUUUGGGAUGCAUCUUCUGUGGAUGAUGCUAUCAAUGAGAUCAUGCUAUCAUGGUGUGACAUGGGAGGAAGUUGUUUCUAUAUUUCUACUUGUGAAGACGAGGACUUCACUCUUAAGAUCAGCAAUCAUGGAUGGCUCCCUGUUGUUAAAAGGACUGAAGGUGACAAUACAGCAGAGAAUUCGAAGUUGCUGCAUAUUCACAAGCUGGAAGAGUUGCCUUUGACUAUUUGCUGUUUUAAUAGAAAGGGAACAGGUAGUAGUGUUGUGACAGUUGGUUAUAUGAUGAAACCUUCUCGGGAAGAAGAUUUUGCAAAGAGAGGUGCAUUUCCUAUGUAUCCUACUCAAAAUGGUUUGAUAUUUGUUCCUCUCACAUUUGAUCUCCCGCUUGAAUCUCAACUGCAAGAAGUUGAUGUGGUUCUACAUAAAGCAACUGAUGAAAUUCUCACCAUUGAGUUGAACAGCUCUUCAGAAUUUUCAAACAAAAUCUCCUAUUCCAAGGGCAUGCAGGAAUUGGAAAGGUAUAUCCGACAUAACCCUGAAUGUUGUGUAAUUGACCCGCUCAAUAACAUAUAUCCUAUGCUGGAUCGGCUAAGGAUCGAAGAGAUUCUACUUGGGUUGGAAGAUCUGAACAGAGAAGGUCAAUGUAGAAUCCGGGCCCCACGUUUUAUAAAGGUUGACAAUUUUAAAGAGGCUAAUUUGGGAGGAAGGCUAUCGGAAGCUGAAUUACUUCUUCCAAGUAUUGUAAAACCACAAGUUGCUUGUGGGGUUGCUGAUGCCCACAGAAUAUUUGUGUUAGGGAUGGGAGUCAUUCUCCUUGCUGCACAACCUUUAUCAUUAUCAAAACAUAUUAGGGGUAACCAUUCUUUACCUAACUCAUCUGAUUUAUUUGAUUUGAGGAUGCUAAUGUCUGCUUGAGACGGGUAAACAUUCUUUACCCGACUCAUCUGAUUUAAUUGAUUCCAGGAUGCUAAUGUCUGCUUGAGACCUUGGUCUGGAUCUGACAAGAAGUUAUGAUACCAGCUCGUGUCUCACAAGGAACUGACCUGCUAUCACCUUUAGAAUUGAAGAUUUUGAAGACCUAUCUGUUCCUCUUCCAGCUGUUAUUCAGGAAUAUGUAGAUCACUCGUCUUUGCUGUUCAAAUUUUAUGUCUUAGGUGAGAAAGUUUUUCAUGCUGUCAGGAAGU
Molecule: RNA transcript, 1601 nt
Organism: Macadamia integrifolia
Lineage: Eukaryota; Viridiplantae; Streptophyta; Magnoliopsida; Proteales; Proteaceae
Gene name: inositol-tetrakisphosphate 1-kinase 6-like
Exons: 11
Source: RefSeq, a predicted model, not a curated record